RNAcentral lists this small RNA (529 nucleotides) under Pongo abelii (Sumatran orangutan). RNAcentral's name for it is "retained intron". The record is from RNAcentral. Lineage: Eukaryota; Metazoa; Chordata; Mammalia; Primates; Hominidae.
GGCGCUGCCCUACAAGGAGAAGCACAGGAAGCUCAAACUUUGGAACAAAUACCGAAUUUCCAACAUUCCGUCACUCAUAUUCCUCGACGCCACCACCGGGAAGGUUGUGUGCAGGAAUGGGCUGCUGGUGAUCCGAGAUGACCCAGAAGGUAAAACCUCAGCACGUGCACGCGGUCCUCUUAUUACCCAGCCCCGCCUCCUCCAUGCGCCUACUCUAAUCUCCGCCACCGGUAGAGAGAGUGCUCGUAAAAUAGAUACACGUGGGUUUACGUGGCUGGAGAAUGUCGUCUCGGUGAAAUCAUAGUAUUCCCUAGGACAUGGUUUUAAGAUUUUCACAGGGAUCAGAAUGUCCCUCCUAGGGGCUUUAAGAGAUGGACUUUGCCAUAAGAAGCUCCGUUUGGAGGGCCGCGGAGGCUGUGGGAAAGUGGAGAGCUCAGACCCCGGCUUCUAGUGCUGCGUCCGUGGCUGCUGCCCCCUUCACAGUUAGAGGCAGGCUGAGUGGGGUUUUUCCCCUUUAAAAUACUACGCA